CACGUGAUGGUGCUCUGGGGCAGGCUCCGAGGCGCUUCCCUUUCUGGGCGAGAGCGGACCGGGCCAGAGAGACUGUCCCUGCUCGCCGUGCCCUAGGGUGGUCAACUCUCCCUGGCUGAGGCUGGCUUAGGUGCGAACCCGGCGCCUCGGGCUCCGUGCCUGCUGACCAGUUCAAGCGAGGCGGUCUGGGCGGUCAAUACCGGGCCCAGUCCAGCCCGUGGAGCUACCCACCUUAGAGGCCCGAGCGCGCCACCCGCCUCCCAGACCUCGGCUCCGCAACUCUUGAGCAUACGUUUUGCCUUCCUUUUCAACCAUGACCCCAGGAACCCUCUCCCUCUGCUCACCUUGUUGGUGAAAAGAAAAGCAGAAUAGCUAGUCAGCAAAA
Long non-coding RNA from Heterocephalus glaber (naked mole-rat), 385 nucleotides. RefSeq lists it as uncharacterized. The record is from RefSeq and is a predicted model, not a curated record. NCBI's taxonomy places the organism in Eukaryota, Metazoa, Chordata, Mammalia, Rodentia, Bathyergidae.